GCGGGAGUAGCUCAGUUGGUAGAGCGUCAGCCUUCCAAGCUGAAUGUGGCGGGUUCGAGCCCCGUUUCCCGCUCCA
This 76-nucleotide transfer RNA is filed under the name Bacillota bacterium. Its description in RNAcentral is "tRNA-Gly". It matches the Rfam family "tRNA". From Rfam's summary of the family: Transfer RNA (tRNA) molecules are approximately 80 nucleotides in length. Their secondary structure includes four short double-helical elements and three loops (D, anti-codon, and T loops). The record is from RNAcentral. Lineage: Bacteria; Bacillati; Bacillota.